This 495-nucleotide ribosomal RNA is filed under the name uncultured bacterium. Its description in RNAcentral is "partial 16S ribosomal RNA". It matches the Rfam family "Bacterial small subunit ribosomal RNA", at positions 29 to 506 of the family's 1533-position model. The record is from RNAcentral.
ACGAACGCUGGCGGCGUGCCUCAUACAUGCAAGUUGAGCGAUGAAGAUUGGUGCUUGCACCACUUUGACGAGCAGCGACCGGGUGAGUAACGCGUGGGGAAUCUGCCUUUGAGCGGGGGACAACAUUUGGAAACGAAUGCUAAUACCGCAUAACAACUUUAAACAUAAGUUUUAAGUUUGAAAGAUGCAAUUGCAUCACUCAAAGAUGAUCCCGCGUUGUAUUAGCUAGUUGGUGCGGUAAAGGCUCACCAAGGCGAUGAUACAUAGCCGACCUGAGAGGGUGAUCGGCCACAUUGGGACUGAGACACGGCCCAAACUCCUACGGGAGGCAGCAGUAGGGAAUCUUCGGCAAUGGACGAAAGUCUGACCGAGCAACGCCGCGUGAGUGAAGAAGGUUUUCGGAUCGUAAAACUCUGUUGGUAGAGAAGAACGUGGGUGAGAGUGGAAAGCUCAUCAAGGGACGGUAACUACCCAGAAAGGGACGGCUAACUACGU